Oncorhynchus keta (chum salmon) is the source of this 1600-nucleotide long non-coding RNA. RefSeq lists it as uncharacterized. The record is from RefSeq and is a predicted model, not a curated record. The transcript has 4 exons. NCBI's taxonomy places the organism in Eukaryota, Metazoa, Chordata, Actinopteri, Salmoniformes, Salmonidae.
AGACAGUGCAGCAACAAUAAUAAUAAUAAUAAUAAUAGUCACUGUUUGUUAAGGUAGUUCUAGACAGUGCAGCAACAAUAAUAAUAAUAAUAAUAAUAAUAAGUCACUGUUUGUUAAGGUAGUUAUAGACAGUGCAGCAACAAUAAUAAUAAUAAUAGUCACUGUUUGUUAAGGUAGUUCUAGACAGUGCAGCAACAAUAAUAAUAAUAAUAGUCACUGUUUGUUAAGGUAGUUAUAGACAGUGCAGCAACAAUAAUAAUAAUAAUAGUCACUGUUUGUUAAGGUAGUUAUAGACAGUGCAGCAACAAUAAUAAUAAUAAUAGUCACUGUUUGUUAAGGUAGUUCUAGACAGUGCAGCAACAAUAAUAAUAAUAAUAAGUCACUGUUUGUUAAGGUAGUUCUAGACAGUGCAGCAACAAUAAUAAUAAUAAUAGUCACUGUUUGUUAAGGUAGUUCUAGACAGUGCAGCAACAAUAAUAAUAAUAAUAAGUCACUGUUUGUUAAGGUAGUUCUAGACAGUGCAGCAACAAUAAUAAUAAUAAUAGUCACUGUUUGUUAAGGUAGUUCUAGACAGUGCAGCAACAAUAAUAAUAAUAAUAAUAAUAAUAAUAGUCACUGUUUGUUAAGGUAGUUCUAGACAGUGCAGCAACAAUAAUAAUAAUAAUAGUCACUGUUUGUUAAGGUAGUUCUAGACAGUGCAGCAACAAUAAUAAUAAUAAUAAUAAUAAUAAUAAUAAUAAUAAUAAUAAUAAUAAUAAUAAUAAUAAUAAUAGUCACUGUUUGUUAAGGUAGUUCUAGACAGUGCAGCAACAAUAAUAAUAAUAAUAGUCACUGUUUGUUAAGGUAGUUCUAGACAGUGCAGCAACAAUAAUAAUAAUAAUAGUCACUGUUUGUUAAGGUAGUUCUAGACAGUGCAGCAACAAUAAUAAUAAUAAUAAGUCACUGUUUGUUAAGGUAGUUAUAGACAGUGCAGCAACAAUAAUAAUAAUAAUAGUCACUGUUUGUUAAGGUAGUUCUAGACAGUGCAGCAACAAUAAUAAUAAUAAUAGUCACUGUUUGUUAAGGUAGUUCUAGACAGUGCAGCAACAAUAAUAAUAAUAAUAAUAGUCACUGUUUGUUAAGGUAGUUCUAGACAGUGCAGCAACAAUAAUAAUAAUAAUAAUAAUAGUCACUGUUUGUUAAGGUAGUUCUAGACAGUGCAGCAACAAUAAUAAUAAUAAUAGUCACUGUUUGUUAAGGUAGUUCUAGACAGUGCAGCAACAAUAAUAAUAAUAAUAGUCACUGUUUGUUAAGGUAGUUCUAGACAGUGCAGCAAUAAUAAUAAUAAUAAUAGUCACUGUUUGUUAAGGUAGUUCUAGACAGUGCAGCAACAAUAAUAAUAAUAAUAGUCACUGUUUGUUAAGGUAGUUCUAGACAGUGCAGCAACAAUAAUAAUAAUAAUAAUAAUAGUCACUGUUUGUUAAGGUAGUUCUAGACAGUGCAGCAAUAAUAAUAAUAAUAAUAAUAGUCACUGUUUGUUAAGGUAGUUCUAGACAGUGCAGCAACAAUAAUAAUAAUAAUAGUCACUGUUUGUUAAGGUAGUUCUAGACAGUGCAGCAAC